UGAGUGUACGACAGCAGGCAAGGCAAGCUGGAGCCCAAAAUGGGGGUAGACUUGAGAAUGAGCAUCUUUGAUCUGGCUCCUUGUGGUCCUGCACUGAGUUUUUAGGACCCACAUGUCCACUGGAGCUGCAGCAAGAGAGUAACAGUGAUCACUGGUUGGCUGGUGCAUAUCCCAAAACAUGUAAAAAACAUAAUAUGGCGUUCAGAAUGUGUUUCUUACAGGAUGCACAAUAACAUAGACUUUGGGAAGGGAGGAAUUUUUGGAAUGAAAAAAUUUUGGUUGAAAUGGGCCUUCCAGAAUGAUCACAGAUUCAGAAGAAUCUGUCUUCUUCUCAGAAAAAGAAUUUUCCAUUGACUCAUGAAGUUUUAUUGUACCAAAAAGGCUAGAGAAAUCUAUUUGCUUUUAACAAAAACUUUAAUGUAUUUGUCAAAGCUUACCGUUGCUAAUAAAUAUCUAUAUGGCAUCUUAAAAAAUCCAUAUGGUAUUCCUAUAUCAGAAUCAGCAUGUGUAAUCCACAGAAAGCAUCCAUCCACUCCUUAAAAAUGCAUCAAGUUCUCCAUAAAAAAACCAAAUAAUAUACAGAUAAUAUAAUUGGCUGUAUGGUCCUAUGGAAUGAGAUAUUGGUGAGUUCUCCUCUCUGGGUUCUGUCUGAAGGCAGAGGAAGGUGCUUCUCUGACACAGCUUCACACUCCAUACUCUGGGGUUAGGAGUGUGCAAAGCCUCCACAGGUACAGGUACCUGGCCAGUGUAGAUGAUGAUUGUGGCCACUAUGUGAUGGAUGACUCAGUGCAGCUGCUGAACUGCCUUGAAUAUGCCCUACUCAUUUUGUGAUUCCUGCUAGCAAAGAGAUUUUUCUAGAGGUCUUUCUUAUAUGCUGUUAUUGCGUCUUUUUCAGAUCUACUGUAUCUUUGAGCCAUUGCUGAGCAGUGAGGUUGUGUGGGCUUGAUGAGAAAAAUGCCUUUUAAAAAUGGACUGUGGGACUAUUUGUGUUCUUACAGCCCAUGCAGCAGCAGUGCAUAUUUAAAACACAGUGGUGGUCUCUUCCUGGCACCUGUGAAUUCUGAGGAAUGUGAAUUACUGAUCUGCUUUGGAAAGUUUGUACACACACUGAAGAAGAAGAAGAAGAUAAAAACCAGCAGCCUUACAGGAAUAUGAAGGCCUCUGCUCGUACUCCCUCAGUACAAGGAAAAUGUAAGCAAAUGUAUGAAAAAAAUGUCCAGUGUUUGCAGACUUUUUCUCCAUUUCCCAUAGAAUUAGAGAAGAGUGGGUUAAGAAAGAUCUAAAAGGGUCAGACUGAAAUUUGCAGGCAAAAACAUUUGGUGGACCAUUCAAAAGGAAGCUAAAAAUAAGGGAAUAGAUUAAAAACAAAACUACUCACUAAUUAUUUGGAAAAAAUUAAAUGUUCCUCACAGUUGUGAGUGUUCUCUGUGCUUUGUGCUUUUCCCCCAUGACAGGAUGCCCCAGAGCCCUGAUCACUGCAAAUCAGUCUUACACCAGUGCUUGCCCCUUUCUUCUUUUGCAGAGGGAUGUAGAUCUGUAAAGUAAGAAGCACCCAAGUGGACAACCUAUUUAAUUGUGUUUAAUUGACUUAGUUAUUCCAAGACAGUACAGUGCUGUAUUUUCUGAUACAGGACAUGCAGAAAUUCCUUUCACUUUCAGCCAUUAUAAAAUUAAAUAUUCAUUUUUUGCUUUGUGACAUCAUAACAGAAAAUGACAUGAUACUAAUACUAUUCUACAUUGAGUAUGCGCAAACAGGUAAAGCAAGAUGUAAAUCCUCUUUAACCUAAAAAGGUCUUUUUCAAAUUUCUUACAAGGAAUUUCUACUCAUGACAUUUUUUUUUCUCAGAACACUGAUAGCAAAACUAUCACAUGAUAUAUAUAUGUUUGAUAUUGUUUUGUUUUGGAAUUCACAAUGAGUGGGACUCUCAAAAACAACCUGGGAUGAUCUCACUCAAAUCUUACUGGCAUUGCAUGUCUGCAAGGACAUGACACUUUGGAAAAAAUCCACCUCAGAAUCACUUAAGCUGCCACAUGACAGUAAAUCUAAUUUCAAGGAGCAUUGUCGAGAAACAGAACACCACAGCCACAUGACAUAAAGCCCUGAAGCUGUACAAUGUCCCCCUGUCAGUCCAAGUUGUUAAAAAAUACUAAAGGAGAACCUUUUGUUUUAGCAGGAUUUAGGUCAGAAAGGCAUAAUUUGUUUGUUUAUAGCUGGGAUAAAGCUGAAAUGCAGCUCAAGAUGUAAGCUCCACGUUGCUGGGGCUGAUGUUGGUGGUUCUGUAUGGCAGUAGGAACGUCAGAGUCCUUGCAUUUAGUGCUAUGAGAAUAAGGGCUCACAGCUGGGUGGGCAUAUGCUGUAGGGGUCUGUAAGGGCAAUGGAGAGCUUUACCCUUCUGCAGCAAGAACAAAGAGAACAAAAGCAUCUUGUAUCCAAAGGGGUGUAGCAGGUUCAGCUAUUAUUUUGCCUAUCAAAAAAAAAAAGGAGUUCUUGGGAGCUUUGUGGUAGCAUGACAUGGGUGAAGGAGUGCCUUUUUCCUGAUUUUAUUUUGGGUCAAAACAGAAGAAUAAUGUUGUGACUCCAGUGCUGUGUUACUGUAGAUACUCAAUGCAUCUUUAGAAUUUAAUCUACUUUACUGACUACAAAAAGAUCACCUAAUGCAGUAGAAUCAUGCCAACUAUCAAACAAUAAUCUGAGCAGUCAGCGAGCUGGAGUAUGAUCUGCUCUGUUUGUCAAAUUUGUGGAGUUAGGGCACUUUCUUGCUUUCCCUCUGCCUAGAUCCAUUGUAAUAAAUUUGGAUUGCGUGUCA
Molecule: long non-coding RNA, 2807 nt
Filed under: Zonotrichia albicollis (white-throated sparrow)
Lineage: Eukaryota; Metazoa; Chordata; Aves; Passeriformes; Passerellidae
Description: lncRNA (ENSZALG00000016441.1)
Source: RNAcentral